ACGCUGGCGGCACGCCUAACACAUGCAAGUCGAACGAAGUAGCAAUACUUAGUGGCAGACGGGUGAGUAACAUGUAGGUAUCUGCCCUUUGGCCUGGAAUAACACGAGGAAACUUGUGCUAAUACCGGAUAAGUCUUUACGGAGAAAGCUUUAUGCACCAUUGGAUGAGCCUGCACUUGAUUAGUUUGUUGGUGGGGUAAUGGCCUACCAAGACUGUGAUCAAUAGCUGAUUUGAGAGGAUGAUCAGCCACAUUGGGACUGGGACACGGCCCAAACUCCUACGGGAGGCAGCAGUGGGGAAUCUUGCACAAUGGAGGAAACUCUGAUGCAGCGAUGCCGCGUGAGUGAAGAAGGCCCUUGGGUUGUAAAGCUCUUUCGUCGGGGAAGAAAAUGACUGUACCCGAAUAAGAAGGUCCGGCUAACUUCGUGCCAGCAGCCGCGGUAAUACGAAGGGACCUAGCGUAGUUCGGAAUUACUGGGCUUAAAGAGUUCGUAGGUGGUUGAAAAAGUUAGUGGUGAAAUCCCAGAGCUUAACUCUGGAACUGCCAUUAAAACUUUUCAGCUAGAGUAUGAUAGAGGAAAGCAGAAUUUCUAGUGUAGAGGUGAAAUUCGUAGAUAUUAGAAAGAAUACCAAUUGCGAAGGCAGCUUUCUGGAUCAUUACUGACACUGAGGAACGAAAGCAUGGGUAGCGAAGAGGAUUAGAUACCCUCGUAGUCCAUGCCGUAAACGAUGUGUGUUAGACGUUGGAAAUUUAUUUUCAGUGUCGCAGGGAAACCGAUAAACACACCGCCUGGGGAGUACGACCGCAAGGUUAAAACUCAAAUGAAUUGACGGGGACCCGCACAAGUAGUGGAGCAUGUGGUUUAAUUCGAAGAUACGCGCAGAACCUUACCAACACUCGACAUGUUCGUCGCGACUCUAAGAGAUUAGAGUUUUCGGUUCGGCCGGACGAAACACAGGUGCUGCAUGGCUGUCGUCAGCUCGUGUCGUGAGAUGUUGGGUUAAGUCCCGCAACGAGCGCAACCCUCACUUUUAGUUGCCAUCAUUAAGUUGGGCACUCUGAAAGAACUGCCAGUGAUAAGCUGGAGGAAGGUGGGGAUGACGUCAAGUCCUCAUGGCCCUUACGUGUUGGGCUACACACAUGCUACAAUGGUAUCUACAACAGGAAGCAAGACUGCGAAGUUAAGCAAAUCCCUAAAAGAUACCUCAGUUCGGAUUGCACUCUGCAACUCGAGUGCAUGAAGCUGGAAUUACUAGUAAUCGUGGAUCAGCGUGCCACGGUGAAUGCGUUCCCGGGUCUUGCACUCACCGCC
Molecule: ribosomal RNA, 1314 nt
Filed under: uncultured bacterium
Lineage: Bacteria
Description: 16S ribosomal RNA
Rfam family: Bacterial small subunit ribosomal RNA
Source: RNAcentral